GGCCUUGACAUGCAGAGAACUUUCCAGAGAUGGAUUGGUGCCUUCGGGAACGUCUGACACAGGUGCUGCAUGGCUGUCGUCAGCUCGUGUCGUGAGAUGUUGGGUUAAGUCCCGUAACGAGCGCAACCCUUGUCCUUAGUUACCAGCACGUUAUGUGGGCACUCUAAGGAGACUGCCGGUGACAAACCGGAGGAAGGUGGGGAUGACGUCAAGUCAUCAUGGCCCUCACGGCCUGGGCUACACACGUGCUACAAUGGUCGGUACAAAGGGUUGCCAAGCCGCGAGGUGGAGCUAAUCCCAUAAAACCGAUCGUAGUCCGGAUCGCAGUCUGCAACUCGACUGCGUGAAGUCGGAAUCGCUAGUAAUCGUGAAUCAGAAUGUCACGGUGAAUACGUUCCCGGGCCUU
RNAcentral lists this ribosomal RNA (406 nucleotides) under uncultured Pseudomonas sp. RNAcentral's name for it is "bacterial SSU rRNA". It matches the Rfam family "Bacterial small subunit ribosomal RNA", at positions 977 to 1382 of the family's 1533-position model. The record is from RNAcentral. Lineage: Bacteria; Pseudomonadati; Pseudomonadota; Gammaproteobacteria; Pseudomonadales; Pseudomonadaceae.